CUCUAUGAUGUUAAAAGAAGUUUUGUAGUAGGGUAAAAUCUGACAUCCGACCAUGAAGGUACGAAUUUAAUGUGCUUUCAUGUGCUUCUGCUAUUGUGGUUGCACAGAGGCGCUAUGUCUGAGAA
This is a small nucleolar RNA of Trypanosoma brucei brucei TREU927, 125 nucleotides long. Lineage: Eukaryota; Euglenozoa; Kinetoplastea; Trypanosomatida; Trypanosomatidae. The record is from RefSeq and is a predicted model, not a curated record.